Molecule: ribosomal RNA, 113 nt
Filed under: Neogale vison (American mink)
Lineage: Eukaryota; Metazoa; Chordata; Mammalia; Carnivora; Mustelidae
Source: RNAcentral
GUCUACGGCCAUACCACCCUGAACGCGCCCGAUCUCGUCUGAUCUCGGAAGCUAAGCAGGUCGGGCCUGGUUAGUACUUGGAUGGGAGAAAAUGUAAAUACCCUGUAUAGUCC